Molecule: transfer RNA, 73 nt
Filed under: Candidatus Shapirobacteria bacterium CG09_land_8_20_14_0_10_39_12
Lineage: Bacteria; Candidatus Shapironibacteriota
Description: tRNA-Arg
Rfam family: tRNA
About the family: Transfer RNA (tRNA) molecules are approximately 80 nucleotides in length. Their secondary structure includes four short double-helical elements and three loops (D, anti-codon, and T loops). Further hydrogen bonds mediate the characteristic L-shaped molecular structure. tRNAs have two regions of fundamental functional importance: the anti-codon, which is responsible for specific mRNA codon recognition, and the 3' end, to which the tRNAs corresponding amino acid is attached (by aminoacyl-tRNA synthetases). tRNAs cope with the degeneracy of the genetic code in two manners: having more than one tRNA (with a specific anti-codon) for a particular amino acid; and 'wobble' base-pairing, i.e. permitting non-standard base-pairing at the 3rd anti-codon position.
Source: RNAcentral
GCGCCCAUAGUUUAACGGAUAAAACAUCAGGUUCCGGACCUGAAGAUUGAGGGUUCAAUUCCCCCUGGGCGCA